This 45-nucleotide non-coding RNA is filed under the name Trichobilharzia regenti. The record is from RNAcentral. Lineage: Eukaryota; Metazoa; Platyhelminthes; Trematoda; Strigeidida; Schistosomatidae.
AUCCAUCUGACGAGUCCCCCAAAGGACGAUAUGCGUAUCUUGGAU